Molecule: long non-coding RNA, 593 nt
Filed under: Nicotiana tabacum (common tobacco)
Lineage: Eukaryota; Viridiplantae; Streptophyta; Magnoliopsida; Solanales; Solanaceae
Description: long non-coding RNA (NTAB_LNC011749)
Source: RNAcentral
AGCUUCUGACUCUCUCCAAGAUCUCAGAGCACACAGUAAAAUGAUACAAAAAUGAAAUAAUUGCACAGCUGGCAAAGCAAAGAAUACUAACUCAAUUUGAGAAGACCAAGAUUGACGAUGGAAUGUGCAGUUAGCAUCUGAAACUGUAAAAUCUCAAAGUAGUAGGAAGUUACUGGCUCUUAUCAUGCCAUCUAUCUAUUUAAAGCUCCAAUAAUCUAACAACAUCAAAGUUUGAAAGCCCAUGUAGAUCAUAGUUUCAGCUGCUUUUUAGGUUUUUUCGCCUUUCCAUUUGAAAACUCCUCUAGUUUCUGGCCAAAAACCACAUUCAGGACUAACAUGGAAGGCAAAAGAUAAACGAUAGAAGAUGUGUAUACUGAUAGAAUACCUUGUGCUGUUUCUCCUUCUUCAACUUCUUCCUCUUCUUGUUUUUCUUACUUUUCUUUGAGAUGGAUAUUUUUAUAUCUUCUUCUUCUUCAGCAGAUCCCUGAAAAAGAUUGUGCCAACUUAGUCAGGCUUGAAUACUUAAUAGAUCUUUGACAUGCGAAAGAUCUUAAUAGAAAUCACAAAUCGUGUAAAAUUGUGAUGUCCUGUAC